CCCUUAGAUGUUCUGGGCCGCACGCGCGCUACACUGAUGCAUUCAACGAGCCUAUCCUUGACCGACAGGUCCGGGUAAUCUUUGAAUCUGCAUCGUGACGGGGAUAGAUUAUUGCAAUUAUUAAUCUUCAACGAGGAAUGCCUAGUAGGCGCAAGUCAUCAGCUUGCGUCGAUUACGUCCCUGCCCUUUGUACACACCGCCCGUCGCUCCUACCGAUUGGGUGUGCUGGUGAAAUGUUCGGAUCGGCCGUUUGUCGCGGUUUCCGCGGCUCGUGGCUGAGAAGUUCAUUAAACCCUCCCACCUAGAGGAAGGAGAAGUCGGAACA
This 325-nucleotide ribosomal RNA is filed under the name uncultured eukaryote. RNAcentral describes it as "partial 18S ribosomal RNA". It matches the Rfam family "Eukaryotic small subunit ribosomal RNA", at positions 1470 to 1796 of the family's 1831-position model. The record is from RNAcentral.